RNAcentral lists this ribosomal RNA (468 nucleotides) under uncultured bacterium. RNAcentral's name for it is "partial 16S ribosomal RNA". It matches the Rfam family "Bacterial small subunit ribosomal RNA", at positions 28 to 507 of the family's 1533-position model. The record is from RNAcentral.
GACGAACGCUGGCGGCGUGCUUAACACAUGCAAGUCGAACGGAAAGGCCCUGCUUUUGUGGGGUGCUCGAGUGGCGAACGGGUGAGUAACACGUGAGUAACCUGCCCUUGACUUUGGGAUAACUUCAGGAAACUGGGGCUAAUACCGGAUAGGAGCUCCUGCUGCAUGGUGGGGGUUGGAAAGUUUCGGCGGUUGGGGAUGGACUCGCGGCUUAUCAGCUUGUUGGUGGGGUAGUGGCUUACCAAGGCUUUGACGGGUAGCCGGCCUGAGAGGGUGACCGGCCACAUUGGGACUGAGAUACGGACCAGACUCCUACGGGAGGCAGCAGUGGGGAAUAUUGCACAAUGGGCGGAAGCCUGAUGCAGCAACGCCGCGUGCGGGAUGACGGCCUUCGGGUUGUAAACCGCUUUCGCCUGUGACGAAGCGUGAGUGACGGUACUGGGUAAAGAAGCACCGGCUAACUACGUG